This 250-nucleotide ribosomal RNA is filed under the name uncultured prokaryote. RNAcentral's name for it is "partial 16S ribosomal RNA". It matches the Rfam family "Bacterial small subunit ribosomal RNA", at positions 524 to 773 of the family's 1533-position model. The record is from RNAcentral.
UACGUAGGGAGCAAGCGUUGUCCGGAUUUACUGGGUGUAAAGGGUGCGUAGGCGGCUUGGUAAGUCAGAUGUGAAAUGUAGAGGCUCAACCUCUGAACUGCAUUUGAAACUAUCGAGCUUGAGUGAAGUAGAGGCAGGCGGAAUUCCCUGUGUAGCGGUGAAAUGCGUAGAGAUAGGGAGGAACACCAGUGGCGAAGGCGGCCUGCUGGGCUUUAACUGACGCUGAGGCACGAAAGCGUGGGUAGCAAAC